AUUGAACGCUGGCGGCAGGCCUAACACAUGCAAGUCGAGCGGUAGAGAGGUGCUUGCAUCUCUUGAGAGCGGCGGACGGGUGAGUAAUGCCUAGGAAUCUGCCUGGUGGUGGGGGAUAACGUUCGGAAACGGACGCUAAUACCGCAUACGUCCUACGGGAGAAAGCGGGGGAUCUUCGGACCUCGCGCCAUUAGAUGAGCCUAGGUCGGAUUAGCUAGUAGGUGAGGUAAUGGCUCACCUAGGCGACGAUCCGUAACUGGUCUGAGAGGAUGAUCAGUCACACUGGAACUGAGACACGGUCCAGACUCCUACGGGAGGCAGCAGUGGGGAAUAUUGGACAAUGGGCGAAAGCCUGAUCCAGCCAUGCCGCGUGUGUGAAGAAGGUCUUCGGAUUGUAAAGCACUUUAAGUUGGGAGGAAGGGCAGUAAGUUAAUACCUUGCUGUUUUGACGUUACCAACAGAAUAAGC
This 468-nucleotide ribosomal RNA is filed under the name uncultured bacterium. RNAcentral describes it as "bacterial SSU rRNA". It matches the Rfam family "Bacterial small subunit ribosomal RNA", at positions 30 to 491 of the family's 1533-position model. The record is from RNAcentral.